GAUGAACGCUGGCGGCGUGCUUAACACAUGCAAGUCGAACGGUGAAGGCGGAGCUUGCUCUGCUGGAUCAGUGGCGAACGGGUGAGUAACACGUGAGCAAUCUGCCCCUGACUCUGGGAUAAGCGCUGGAAACGGCGUCUAAUACUGGAUACGAGCUGCGAAGGCAUCUUCAGCAGCUGGAAAGAAUUUCGGUCAGGGAUGAGCUCGCGGCCUAUCAGCUUGUUGGUGAGGUAAUGGCUCACCAAGGCGUCGACGGGUAGCCGGCCUGAGAGGGUGACCGGCCACCCUGGGACUGAGACACGGCCCAGACUCCUACGGGAGGCAGAAGUGGGGAAUAUUGCCCAAUGGGCGAAAGCCUGAUGCAGCAACGCCGCGUGAGGGACGACGGCCUUCGGGUUGUAAACCUCUUUUAGAAGGGAAGAAGCGAAAGUGACGGUACCUGCAGAAAAAGCGCCGGCUAACUACGUG
RNAcentral lists this ribosomal RNA (468 nucleotides) under uncultured bacterium. RNAcentral describes it as "partial 16S ribosomal RNA". It matches the Rfam family "Bacterial small subunit ribosomal RNA", at positions 28 to 507 of the family's 1533-position model. The record is from RNAcentral.